UACGUAGGGUGCGAGCGUUAAUCGGAAUUACUGGGCGUAAAGCGUGCGCAGGCGGUUCGUUGUGUCGGUGGUGAAGCCCCGGGCUUAACCUGGGAAUGGCCAUGGAAACUGGCGAACUGGAGUGUGGCAGAGGGGGGUGGAAUUCCGCGUGUAGCAGUGAAAUGCGUAGAGAUGCGGAGGAACACCGAUGGCGAAGGCAGCCCCCUGGGCUAGCACUGACGCCUCAGGCACGAAAGCGUGGGGAGCAAACAGG
Molecule: ribosomal RNA, 253 nt
Filed under: uncultured bacterium
Lineage: Bacteria
Description: partial 16S ribosomal RNA
Rfam family: Bacterial small subunit ribosomal RNA
Source: RNAcentral